RNAcentral lists this ribosomal RNA (3819 nucleotides) under Triticum aestivum (bread wheat). Its description in RNAcentral is "partial small subunit ribosomal RNA". Lineage: Eukaryota; Viridiplantae; Streptophyta; Magnoliopsida; Poales; Poaceae. The record is from RNAcentral.
AUGCCAAUUGAGGCGCCGGUGCUGGGUCCUUUGCUCGGAAAUACCGUCAACACGGUCAUAAGUCCAUUCUAUACGCUCUUCUCCACAAAUGCCAUGUAUUGCUUCACCGCUCGCACAAACGUGACAAAACAUAGGACUGAAACUGAGACAUUGAGUGGCAACUUGCUUCGUGUCAAACAGGGAAUUGUAGAUGGCGAGAUGAAUGGCUUGAUACCGACGGAAGAAGCAAAUGAGUGGGUGCAAAGGGCGGAGCAAGCCAUAUGUGAAGAAGCGGCAAACCGCGAGUCUUUUUUUGAUCAGAGGUGCAGAAUCUUUGGGUGCUCCCUGAACAUGAAUUGCUGGGGAAACUAUAAAACCAGCAAGAAAGCAGCUGAAAAGGUGGAUGCUGUGAAACAAUAUAUCAGUAGCACACCGCUGCCAGAUAAUGUCACACGCACACCACCUCCACCUCCUGUCGUAGAUUUGUCCACCCACUCUGCUCAGCUUCUGCCAAGCAGAGAGCCUACUCUCAGGAGUGCUCUCAUGUGCAUUAAGGAGGAGGAUGCGGUGGGAGUGAUUGGAAUAUGGGGUCCACGUGGAGUUGGGAAAACACAUCUUCUCACAAAGAUAAACAAUUCAUUUCUUGAACAUUGUCCCUUUGAUAUGGUUAUCCUUAUUAAGGCCUCGAGUGAAUGCACGGUGCAAAAGGUUCAAGCUCAGAUCAUAAACAGGUUCGGUAUAAACCAGAAUGUUAAUGUGACAGCUCAAAUACAUGAACUGCUCAAGAAACGAAGUUUUCUGGUGUUGGUGGAUGACCUUUGUGAGAAGCUAGACCUUUCAGCUGUUGGCAUUCCACAUCCUCUUGGAGUUGUGGACCAAAAGAAGAGGAAGGUGCUAAUCAUUUCACGAUCACAAUCCAUAUGUGAUCUGAUGGGUGUGGAUAAAUAUAUGCAAGUGCUUGGUUUGGAGGAAGAGGAGGCACACCAACUAUUUGAACAAAGUUUUGGUGAGGAGAAUCUUUAUACUGAUCCCCAUGUCGGGGUACUUGUUAAGGAUCUCGUAAGAGAACUAAUUGGCCGACCAUCAGAGCUGAUACAUUUCGGGAAGAUGAUGCGAAGAAGCAGAAAUGCAAGGCAGUGGGAAGAUGUCAUUGAUGCAGUAAAGAGAUCAAACCUUCGAAAUGAUAACCCAUUAUGUAUGGCGGAAAGAAUUGAGGGAAGUCUCGAGGAUUCCACCAAAGACUUGAUCGCGAAAAAAAAUGAUGUAUGUCAGAAGAUUAAGAAUGCUGAGCGAGAAGGCAAGAAAUCAACAAAUGAGGUCGACAGAUGGCUGGAAAAAGUGGCCAGAAUCAUUGAUGUUGUGCAUGUAAUCUCUGUGGACUAUAAGCUGAAGAAGGAUGUUACCAUGGAGGCAUCUGAGAAGCUUCGUGAGGUUCAAGAGUGUCUCAGUAUUUGUCCCAGUACUGUUGCAAUUGAGUCAAUGCCACCUCCUGUCCAAGAGAUGCCUGGUCCAUCUAUGUCAGCCGAGAACCGUAACCUCCAAGAUGCUCUCCAGUGCAUUAAGGAUGAUCCCAAAGUGGGAAUGAUUGGAAUUUGGGGUCCAGGUGGAGUGGGGAAAACACAUCUUCUCAACAAUAUUAAUAACUCAUUUGGAGAUGGUAUGAACUUUGAUUUUGUUGUCUUUGUAACUGCCUCCAGAGAGUGCUCGGUGGAAAAGGUCCAGUCACAAAUCAUAGAAAGGCUCAGGCUGCAAAGUGUUGGUUCUAAUCGUCUUACCAUACAUGCGUACAUGAAAACGAAAAGCUUUCUUGUACUAUUGGAUGACCUAUGGAACGAAAUUAAUCUAGAAGAAGUUGGUAUACCAUAUCCCCUUGGAAAUGUAAAGAAACUCAAUAGAAAAGUGGUGCUAACAACAAGAUUAAGAAAAGUUUGUGGCCAAAUGAAGGUGAAGAAAGAGUUAAAAGUUGCAUAUCUGCAGGAGCAUGAGGCAUGGCAGCUAUUUAAAGAAAAUAUUGAUGCCGAAACUCUUUCUAGUCCCCAUAUUGAAACCCUUGCUAGAGAACUUAUGAAGGAACUGAAAGGCUUGCCACUAGCUUUGAUAACUAUUGGAAAGGCAAUGUAUCAGAAAGAUGAGUAUCAAUGGGAAACUGCCAUCCAAUAUAUGAAACAAUCAUGCUGCACUGAGGACAAAGACCCAAUAGAACUGGGUAUGGAAACUAAUGUUUUCAGGCAGCUAAAGUUUAGUUAUGAAAAAUUAAGAAACGACAUAUUGAGAGAUUGUUUUUUGACUUGUGUACUCUGGCCAGAGGAUGCGAAGAUUCGCAAAGUUGACCUUGCUCAAUGUUGGAUGGGCUUAGGUCUAGUGAAUGAGCAUGACAUAGAAUCUUCCUUUAGGAAAUCAUAUAGUUUGAUAGCUGACCUUACAGCUGCAUGCUUGCUAGAGGGCAGCGAUGCUCACCCAGGAUCUUCCUUUGAAAAUUCACAUGGUUCUGUUAAAGUGCAUGAUGUGAUUCGUGAUAUGGCUUUAUGGAUUUCUUGUGACUGUGGUGAGAAGAAUGACAAAUGGAUUGUGGCGGCACCAGGUGACAGAGACAAAGAAGUUAUUAUCCUUUCGAACAAAGCUGAGUGCAUCUCCUUGAGUUUCAACAGAAUUCCUAUCAGGUUUAAUCUUGAUCCAUUAAAGCUGAGGAUCUUGUGCCUUCGGAACAACGGAUUGGAUGAAAGCAUUAUUGAAGCAAUUAAGAAUUGCACUUCACUGACAUAUCUGGAUUUGAGCGGAAACAACCUCAAGAGGAUACCGGAAGAAUUAUGUUCCUUGGUAAACCUGGAAUACCUUGAUUUGUCAGAAAAUGUAUUUGGGGAAACUGGAGUGCCUCGAUCCUUUGGAGAUCUUAUCAACCUCAAGUUCUUGUACCUAAAGUCUGGUAGUGGUUACGUGAGAAUACCAGCUGGGGUCAUUGCUAGACUUAAAGCAUUGCAGGUAAUAGACUUGAGGAGUCUCUUAAGAGAAUGUACCCUAUUCCUAUUCCGAGAGUUGGGCACCCUACCUCAGUUGAAAGCGCUUGGUAUUCUGGUAAGAGAUUUAGCUCAGUUUGAGUCACUAGGAGAAGCAGCAAACCUCCCUGUUAGAUAUUUGGCUCUAAAUGACGUAAGUGCACUCACUCGUAUUUUAUCAACCGACUUUGCACAAAGGACCUUGUAUGAACUUGAUAUCAAUGAAGAAAGAUAUUUUCUUGAACAAGAUAUCAAUGAAGAAAUCGACACUCGAGAAAUAACAGUAGAACAUGACACAGAACAACCAAGCAAUCGUUUUGGUGCUCUCACCAACAUCCGAUUAACUAUGGCGAGAUCCUUGAGAGAGAUAAAGUGGAUGGGAGCAACUCCAGCAUUUAUAUUCCCAAGGCUCACUUUUUUGGAAUUGUUUAUGUGCCAACAUCUAUUGCACCUCUCUUGGGUUAUGCAUUUGCCUCGCCUUGAACAACUUCAUAUAGUUUCUUGUGACGGCAUGGUGCAAGCAUUUAUGAGGUGCCAUGGUGACAGAUUGUGCAACGGACAGGACAAGACAAAAACAUUUCCUCGCCUCAAGCUUCUCUUUCUUAUUUAUAACGAAUCGUUGGAAACUAUUGGGGACAAUGGUAUGGAAUUCCCAUCCCUAGAGCGACUUGAGCUUGAAGGUAGUCUGGCAUUGAAGAGGCUUCCUUUCCGGUCGGACAGUUUGCCACCAAAGCUGAAGGAGCUACGGUUUGAUGAUGCUAGAUGCUGGGAGAGACUAGAAUGCGAAGAAGGUGUCAAAACUAUCCUGGAACCCUAUAUUAAAUUUGGCAGACGACAUCAGGGUUAA